UUAAAUUGAAGAGUUUGAUCAUGGCUCAGAUUGAACGCUGGCGGCAGGCCUAACACAUGCAAGUCGAACGGUAACAGGAAGCAGCUUGCUGCUUUGCUGACGAGUGGCGGACGGGUGAGUAAUGUCUGGGAAACUGCCUGAUGGAGGGGGAUAACUACUGGAAACGGUGGCUAAUACCGCAUAACGUCGCAAGACCAAAGAGGGGGACCUUCGGGCCUCUUGCCAUCAGAUGUGCCCAGAUGGGAUUAGCUUGUUGGUGAGGUAACGGCUCACCAAGGCGACGAUCCCUAGCUGGUCUGAGAGGAUGACCAGCCACACUGGAACUGAGACACGGUCCAGACUCCUACGGGAGGCAGCAGUGGGGAAUAUUGCACAAUGGGCGCAAGCCUGAUGCAGCCAUGCCGCGUGUAUGAAGAAGGCCUUCGGGUUGUAAAGUACUUUCAGCGGGGAGGAAGGUGUUGUGGUUAAUAACCGCAGCAAUUGACGUUACCCGCAGAAGAAGCACCGGCUAACUCCGUGCCAGCAGCCGCGGUAAUACGGAGGGUGCAAGCGUUAAUCGGAAUUACUGGGCGUAAAGCGCACGCAGGCGGUCUGUCAAGUCGGAUGUGAAAUCCCCGGGCUCAACCUGGGAACUGCAUUCGAAACUGGCAGGCUUGAGUCUUGUAGAGGGGGGUAGAAUUCCAGGUGUAGCGGUGAAAUGCGUAGAGAUCUGGAGGAAUACCGGUGGCGAAGGCGGCCCCCUGGACAAAGACUGACGCUCAGGUGCGAAAGCGUGGGGAGCAAACAGGAUUAGAUACCCUGGUAGUCCACGCCGUAAACGAUGUCUACUUGGAGGUUGUGCCCUUGAGGCGUGGCUUCCGGAGCUAACGCGUUAAGUAGACCGCCUGGGGAGUACGGCCGCAAGGUUAAAACUCAAAUGAAUUGACGGGGGCCCGCACAAGCGGUGGAGCAUGUGGUUUAAUUCGAUGCAACGCGAAGAACCUUACCUGGUCUUGACAUCCACGGAAGUUUUCAGAGAUGGAUUUGUGCCUUCGGGAACCGUGAGACAGGUGCUGCAUGGCUGUCGUCAGCUCGUGUUGUGAAAUGUUGGGUUAAGUCCCGCAACGAGCGCAACCCUUAUCCUUUGUUGCCAGCGAUUAGGUCGGGAACUCAAAGGAGACUGCCAGUGAUAAACUGGAGGAAGGUGGGGAUGACGUCAAGUCAUCAUGGCCCUUACGACCAGGGCUACACACGUGCUACAAUGGCGCAUACAAAGAGAAGCGACCUCGCGAGAGCAAGCGGACCUCAUAAAGUGCGUCGUAGUCCGGAUUGGAGUCUGCAACUCGACUCCAUGAAGUCGGAAUCGCUAGUAAUCGUGGAUCAGAAUGCCACGGUGAAUACGUUCCCGGGCCUUGUACACACCGCCCGUCACACCAUGGGAGUGGGUUGCAAAAGAAGUAGGUAGCUUAACCUUCGGGAGGGCGCUUACCACUUUGUGAUUCAUGACUGGGGUGAAGUCGUAACAAGGUAACCGUAGGGGAACCUGCGGUUGGAUCACCUCCUUACCUUAAAGAAGC
This 1556-nucleotide ribosomal RNA is filed under the name Salmonella enterica. Its description in RNAcentral is "bacterial SSU rRNA". It matches the Rfam family "Bacterial small subunit ribosomal RNA". Lineage: Bacteria; Pseudomonadati; Pseudomonadota; Gammaproteobacteria; Enterobacterales; Enterobacteriaceae. The record is from RNAcentral.